Molecule: ribosomal RNA, 439 nt
Filed under: uncultured Gallicola sp.
Lineage: Bacteria; Bacillati; Bacillota; Tissierellia; Tissierellales; Peptoniphilaceae
Description: bacterial SSU rRNA
Rfam family: Bacterial small subunit ribosomal RNA
Source: RNAcentral
CCUACGGGCGGCUGCAGUGGGGAAUAUUGCACAAUGGGGGAAACCCUGAUGCAGCGACGCCGCGUGAGUGAUGAAGGUUUUCGAAUCGUAAAGCUCUGUCCUUGGAGAAGAUAAUGACGGUAUCCAAGGAGGAAGCACCGGCUAAAUACGUGCCAGCAGCCGCGGUAAUACGUAUGGUGCGAGCGUUGUCCGGAAUUAUUGGGCGUAAAGGGUACGUAGGCGGUUUAGCAAGUCAGAUGUUAAAGCGUGGGGCUCAACCCCAUAAAGCAUUUGAAACUGUUAAACUUGAGUAGUGGAGAGGAAAGUGGAAUUCCUAGUGUAGCGGUGAAAUGCGUAGAUAUUAGGAGGAAUACCAGUGGCGAAGGCGACUUUCUGGACACAAACUGACGCUGAGGUACGAAAGCGUGGGGAGCAAACAGGCUUAGAUACCCGAGUAGUC